GACGUUUCUGCAUUAUAAUAUAUGUUAUGUGUGUUUUUUCCAAGAGUGUCACAAGUUAGUUGUGGUGAGCCAUUGUGAUGAAAACAUCUGUUUCGUUUAGUGCAACAGUGUAUUAUUUCUUUACAAAACGGUAUUGCACACAAGGUAAGAUCAUUUUUCAUUCUCAACUUUGUAUCAAGAAAGUACUAUUUGGUUCAAUGUCAGUAUUGUAGGGGAAACUGGAGAUGAUAUCCUUUUAUGGUUUACUUUGUUUUAUGACGUUCUUGUACAGUAAGUAAGAGACGUCGAUUGUACUAUUUUUGCUUAUGACAUUAUUGCCAAUAAUUUUUUUUUCUCAGACAAAGUGGUUUUGUAUCAAUUUGUUUCAUGAUACGCUUGCAAAGAAUAGUCGGCCUUUAUUGGGAAAAUGUACAGUUUCAUAUUGGAAUGUGUCAUUAUUGUCACAGAUUAAUCAUAAUGAUUUCUCGAGGAAAAAUGCUGAUAGAGUUAGCAUUAAAUACCGAUAAAGAGUCCCAAAAUGGUUUAUGUAAGAAUUCAUCCGACAGAGGAGGAGAAUCCGAAGUUUAAAGGAAACUUGUUUUCACUGAUACCUCAGUUGAUGAUACUCUUCAGCCAGCAGCAAUCAAGCAAAAAACCGAUAAGGGGGAAACAUUUUUAGUUGCGAAGAAUGACUCAACUAAUGUUGUAGAAUCCUCAAAAGCGGGUACGUUUUUCAGUGAAAAACAGGAGCAACAUGAAUAGAGUAUGAGGACAAACAAAAAUGAUUGUAUUCCAACCUGCUUGUCAAGUUCCUGACGUAUCCAAUUCCAUACCUGGUAUUGUAUUUUCCUUUAUUGCAAUUCAUCUGAAGAACGGUCGAACAAAGCUAGCAAGAACAUUAAUGCAAGGUCAACUACCGAGGAAAAAGUCGAUACGAGUAUAUUGGAUGUAUGUGAUACGGAGAACCAAGCCACUGAUGGAAAAACUCCUGAAAUUAUAGGAUUUCAACGUUCUGGAUCCAAGUCUGACAAAUCAAGCUCCUCAUCCUCUUCAUCGAACUCAAGCAGUAGCAGCAGUGAUUCAAGGAAUAAAAGCGAGUCUGAAGUUUUUGAUGAUUCUUAUGCAGACAAAGACUGGAACCCUUCAUCUGACGAAGAGAGCAGUGAAGAUGAACUCCAGAAAAAUAUUGACCAUCGUGUUCUCAUGACCCAAACACUUUCAAGCAGUAAUACUUGUGAAGUUGGUGUUGCUGUGACUGUCAGUACUCCAGAUGCCACGCAUUCAGCACCACCAUCCAGCAAUGUAAGCCAAACUCGUGAUUCACUUUCAAGUACCCCUGUCUCAAACAGCAAUGCUGGUCCAAAUUUUCCCCUACAAUCUGGUGCUAGUACCCCUGGUAUCAGUAGUACCAGUAGUGCCGAAAUCUCCUUUGCUUCUACCAUUGGUAUUCUGAGCCCAGUUAAAAAAGGCAAACGAAGAAGAAAUGAAUCCAGCUGGAAGAGAAACAUUUUGAAAGCAGCUAGAAAUUAUGGGAAAACGUACGAAAGUCAUUCAAAAAAACCUGAAAAACGUGUGAAAAAGGCAAGAGAAAUUGAACCUCCAUGUAAAGAUAAAUGCCGAUUAAAGUGCUCUGAAAAAAUAACUGAAGAUGAGAGAAAGAGUGUUUUUGAUGCAUAUUGAAACCUGGGAGAUAUUGCCAAGCAGAGGGAGUUCAUUCAUAACUGUACAACAGAAAUCAAACCAAAAUAUCGUUACGUGCGCGAAGCUGGGCAGAGGCCACGAAGAAAUCAUAAUGCUGCGUUCUUUUUCAAUCUUGGCGACAGACGCAUUCGUGUUAAGUUAUUUUUCAGAAAUACCUAGAUAUCAAUGACCGCCCUAUUCGCACUGUGUUUGAGAAGAAAGAUAAACUGGCUGGUGCCGUGAUGGCCGAAGAUAAAAGAGGAAAGCACGGCAAUCAGCUCAAGAUGAACGAAGCUGUCAGGAAUAGAAUUAUAGAUCAUAUCAACAGAAUUCCCAAAAUUGAGACAUUAUACCUGCAAAAAUACUACGAAACACUACAUUGAAGGGAGCAAAACCAUAACUUAUUUACAAUGAUUACGUGAACGACUGCAAAAGAGAUAAUGUUACCUUCAGUAAUUUCAAUUACUUCUAUAACAUUUUCACUAAUGACUUCAAUUUAAGUUAUUUCCAGCCUAGAAAAGAUCAGUGCGAAACAUGUGUUGGUUAAGAAUGCCUCAGAGACAGAUAAACAGAACUUGAAGGCAAGUUAUGAUCAGCAUUUGGUUGAAAAAGAGCUCUCAAGAAAAGAGAAGUAGAAUGAUAAACAAACGCUAGCGGAUAACGCCUUAUUAGCAGUAUACGAUUUACAAGUAGUUAUUCCAUUGCCAAAGGGCGACUGCUCAGCUUUUUACUAUUCAUCUAAAUUGAAUGUCCUAAAUUUUACAAUUACCGAUUUGAAAAAAAAAAAUACCGAAUGUUAUGUUUGGGAUGAAUCUAACCGCCACCGUGGAUCGAAUGAACUUGGAUCAUGUAUUUUGAAAUAUAUUGAGAAACAUAUUGGAACAUACAAGGAUAUUACUUUCUAUUCCGAUAAUUGUAGCGGACAGCAGAAGAAUCAAUUCAUGUUAGCUGCAUAUACCUUUGCUCGUCGUAAAUACGGCCUUAACUCCAUCACUCAUAAAUUUCUAAUCAAAGGCCAUACCCAAAUGAAGGAGAUUCCGUUCACUCUUUGAUUGAAAGAAAAAUGAAACAAGCUCUUAAAAGUGGUCCAAUUUAUACGCCAGAAGGUCUCGUUUCACUGAUCAGAACAGUAAAAAGAACGGGUGAACAAUUUUCUGUUAACGAACUUUCCUAUGAAGACUUCUUCGAUUUGAAACUUCUAGCCUCGGAUAUCGGACCUCUGCGUAUCUUAAAAAAUACACAAAAGCCACCAGUCAAAUUUAAAGAGAU
This 2928-nucleotide long non-coding RNA is filed under the name Leptinotarsa decemlineata (Colorado potato beetle). RNAcentral's name for it is "uncharacterized LOC111516474". Lineage: Eukaryota; Metazoa; Arthropoda; Insecta; Coleoptera; Chrysomelidae. The record is from RNAcentral.